AAAAUUACAUUAAAUAAUUAUUUUAAAAUUGGAGCAAAUUGGAGUAAAAACAUAUAUAAGAAAUCAUCCAAUUAACUAAGUGCAUUAAACAACAACUCAAUAAAUCAACAAAAACGAGCAGAAAAAUUUAAUGAAGAUGGAAAUUAAUCAUCUUGAUUGUGAUUCUCUUCUCUCGAUAUUUUCACAUCUUCCAGCUGAAGAUAGAUUAAAACUACAAGAUGUGUGUCAAAAAUGGGAGAAAAUUAGUCACUUCAUCUGGAGCAACAUAAAAAUUUUAAAUUGCCCAAAAAUUUAUUUGAAUAACAAAUGUAUUACUCAAUCAGAAAUUGAGGAUAUAAUGAUACAAAGUAGAAAAUAUUUGAAGCAGUUAGUGUUUAGUAGUAAUUUAGAAGUAAAUUCAAUUUUAAAUAAUUGUAAAUUAUGUGCUAAUAUUAAUUGGCUUGAUCUCUCAAAUGCUUGUGAUGUCAAUGACAACACAAUUAUUUUUAUAACACAAAAUUUUAAAAAGUUGAGUUAUCUUGACAUAAGCAACAAUUGGGAGUUGACAAACAAGUCAUUAAUGAAAUUGGGAGAAUUAAAAAAUUUAAAAAGUAUUAUAUUAAAUGAUGUGGUUGACGUUGAUGAUGAAAUUGUUGAUCAAUUCAAAAAUAUGAAACGAGUUGAAUUUGCAAUUUCUCGUGUUACUCAAGCAGCUGUUUUAAAAAUUAUCAAUAAUUCUAAAGAGCUGGAAGUUUUAAAUAUUGCUGACACAAAUGUUACAGUUUCUUGUCUUUCAUUUGCUUCAUUUGCGUGUGAUCAACGUCAAAGAAAAUUGAAAAUGUUCGUUAAUAGAUAUCUUUACAAUUAUUUAAAUUAUGAUCUACAUAUAUCACCUUUUUUAACACUCGAAAUUUUUUAAUCAAUUUUAAA
Molecule: long non-coding RNA, 909 nt
Organism: Aphidius gifuensis
Lineage: Eukaryota; Metazoa; Arthropoda; Insecta; Hymenoptera; Braconidae
Exons: 3
Source: RefSeq, a predicted model, not a curated record